UACGUAGGGUGCGAGCGUUAAUCGGAAUUACUGGGCGUAAGCGUGCGCAGGCGGUUUGUUAAGACAGAUGUGAAAUCCCCGGGCUUAACCUGGGAAUGGCGAUGGAGACUGCAAGGCUGGAGUUUGGCAGAGGGGGGUAGAAGUUCCACGUGUAGCAGUGAAAUGCGUAGAGAUGUGGAGGAACACCGAUGGCGAAGGCAGCCCCCUGGGUCAAGAUUGACGCUCAUGCACGAAAGCGUGGGGAGCAAACAGG
RNAcentral lists this ribosomal RNA (253 nucleotides) under uncultured bacterium. Its description in RNAcentral is "partial 16S ribosomal RNA". It matches the Rfam family "Bacterial small subunit ribosomal RNA", at positions 524 to 776 of the family's 1533-position model. The record is from RNAcentral.